RNAcentral lists this ribosomal RNA (776 nucleotides) under uncultured Neocallimastigales. RNAcentral describes it as "partial large subunit ribosomal RNA". It matches the Rfam family "Eukaryotic large subunit ribosomal RNA", at positions 23 to 645 of the family's 3401-position model. Lineage: Eukaryota; Fungi; Neocallimastigomycota; Neocallimastigomycetes; Neocallimastigales. The record is from RNAcentral.
AGAGAGAGACAUGCGCGCAUAUCAAUAAGCGGAGGAAAAGAAACUAACAAGGAUUCCCCUAGUAACGGCGAGUGAAGCGGGAAGAGCUCAAAUUUGAAAUCUUAAAGGGUUUCCCUUUACGAAUUGUAGUUUAAAGAAGUGUUUUCUGUUGAGGUUUUGGUAAAAGUUCUUUGGAAUAGGACAUCAUAGAGGGUGAGAAUCCCGUAUUUGACCAUUUACUUUCCAGCUUUGUGAUACACUUACAAAGAGUCGGAUUGUUUGGGAAUGCAGUCCAAAAUGGGUGGUAAAUUUCAUCUAAAGCUAAAUAUUGGCGAGAGACCGAUAGCGAACAAGUACCGUGAGGGAGAAGAUGAAAAGAACUUUGAAAAGAGAGUUAAACAGUACGUGAAAUUGUCAAAAGGGAAGCGUUUGACACCAGUGUUGUUUUCUCGAAAAUCAAUUAAAAAAGGCAGGAUUUUGUGUUGUAUUGACUUUAUCAGCUUUCUGCACUCUUUUCUUGUCUUUUUUAAUGCACUUUUCGUUUAACAAGUCAACAUCAAUUUCUUUUGUUGUAAAAGGGUCAUUGGAAGGUGGCUUUCUUUUCGGAGAAAGUGUUUAUAGCCUUUGGCCUCUGCAAUCGGAGAGAUUGAGGUCUGCAGCGUAGAUCCUUCGGGGUUAGAUACAUUUGUGCUAAGUUAUAGCCUUUCAUAGACAACUUGUUGACUAUGAUCAGUCAUGUAGCUUACUCGCUUAUGCUAUUUUACCUACGCUUAGGAUGUUGAUGUGAUACUGCGAGC